UGCAAGGGGCGGCGGCGGGUGUCCUCGGCACCCGGCUGGGGCCCGGGGUACCCACAGAUCCCUGGGAGCCCCAGGCUGCGAUGAUGAAACCGAAUCUAGCCCGGCAGAUUGCCGACCUUCUCCCGCCCAGGAACCUGCCCCCAAGAAAGAAGCCCCUUCCCCUCCUUGGGUGGAAAGAACUCUGCAGGGGUUGAGCCCACAGACCUGGAUUCAAUCCAGGCGUCGCUGUUUCCUCGCGGUGUGUCCUUAGAUGGGGUCACAAAGGGACAGAGAUGUUAAAUAAACCCACUCAAGGUCACGUGGCUGGUGGUCUUGCUCAGAUCGCUUCAACAGCCUCCUCAACGGUCUCCCUCCCUCUGGCUCACACAAUCCGUCUCCACGAUGUCCACCAGAGGGCGCUCCACACCGUGACUCUGAAGCUGUUAGUCCCAGGCUCCUCAGUGCUUUGGGCUGGAGAUCAAGCCUUGUGGGCUUUCCCUGGCCUCAUGCGUACCACUCCCCAGGAGACCCCCUUGCAGCUCCGGGGGAGCCCCGUUCCUUCCCCCAGGCCUCUCUGUGAAUGCACACACGCUGUUACCCACAACUGAGGCCCUUCCCCUUGGCAAAUGCCUUCUACCUUGCUCCGGAUUCCUCCAGAUGCUAGGACACCUCCCCCCAGCAGCCUGCACUCCCCCCAAACCAGCUUCCUCACCGCAGUCACAAGGCCCAGUGUGAUCUGACCCCUGCCAGCUCUUUCCACGCCAGUACCGAUGCCCUGCUUAUUAUAACAAUAAUAAUGAACAUUAUUAUUAUUAAGCACUCAAAGCCCCUUUGCAUGUA
This is a long non-coding RNA of Choloepus didactylus (southern two-toed sloth), 819 nucleotides long. RefSeq lists it as uncharacterized. The transcript has 3 exons. NCBI's taxonomy places the organism in Eukaryota, Metazoa, Chordata, Mammalia, Pilosa, Megalonychidae. The record is from RefSeq and is a predicted model, not a curated record.